RNAcentral lists this ribosomal RNA (71 nucleotides) under Serratia liquefaciens. Its description in RNAcentral is "partial 16S ribosomal RNA". The stretch from base 1 to 63 matches the Rfam family "Bacterial small subunit ribosomal RNA", at positions 1471 to 1533 of the family's 1533-position model. The record is from RNAcentral. RNAcentral also lists the same sequence under 5 other names. Lineage: Bacteria; Pseudomonadati; Pseudomonadota; Gammaproteobacteria; Enterobacterales; Yersiniaceae.
AUGACUGGGGUGAAGUCGUAACAAGGUAACCGUAGGGGAACCUGCGGUUGGAUCACCUCCUUACCUAAAGA